CCUACGGGAGGCAGCAGUGGGGAAUUUUGGACAAUGGGCGCAAGCCUGAUCCAGCAAUGCCGCGUGCAGGAUGAAGGCCUUCGGGUUGUAAACUGCUUUUGUACGGAACGAAACGGUCUGCCCUAAUACGGUGGGCUAAUGACGGUACCGUAAGAAUAAGCACCGGCUAACUACGUGCCAGCAGCCGCGGUAAUACGUAGGGUGCGAGCGUUAAUCGGAAUUACUGGGCGUAAAGCGUGCGCAGGCGGUUAUGUAAGACAGAUGUGAAAUCCCCGGGCUCAACCUGGGACCUGCAUUUGUGACUGCAUAGCUAGAGUACGGUAGAGGGGGAUGGAAUUCCGCGUGUAGCAGUGAAAUGCGUAGAUAUGCGGAGGAACACCGAUGGCGAAGGCAAUCCCCUGGACCUGUACUGACGCUCAUGCACGAAAGCGUGGGGAGCAAACAGGAUUAGAUACCCUGGUAGUCCACGCCCUAAACGAUGUCAACUGGUUGUUGGGUCUUCACUGACUCAGUAACGAGCUAACGCGUGAAGUUGACCGCCUGGGGAGUACGGCCGCAAGGUUGAAACUCAAAGGAUUGACGGGCNGAGAGNGCGAGCGACGACGAGGAGAGG
RNAcentral lists this ribosomal RNA (613 nucleotides) under uncultured bacterium. RNAcentral's name for it is "bacterial SSU rRNA". It matches the Rfam family "Bacterial small subunit ribosomal RNA", at positions 338 to 945 of the family's 1533-position model. The record is from RNAcentral.